Molecule: ribosomal RNA, 464 nt
Filed under: Vreelandella stevensii
Lineage: Bacteria; Pseudomonadati; Pseudomonadota; Gammaproteobacteria; Oceanospirillales; Halomonadaceae
Description: partial 16S ribosomal RNA
Rfam family: Bacterial small subunit ribosomal RNA
Source: RNAcentral
CCUACGGGUAGCAGCAGUGGGGAAUAUUGGACAAUGGGCGAAAGCCUGAUCCAGCCAUGCCGCGUGUGUGAAGAAGGCCUUCGGGUUGUAAAGCACUUUCAGUGGGGAAGAAAGCCUUGGGGCUAAUACCCUCGAGGAAGGACAUCACCCACAGAAGAAGCACCGGCUAACUCCGUGCCAGCAGCCGCGGUAAUACGGAGGGUGCGAGCGUUAAUCGGAAUUACUGGGCGUAAAGCGCGCGUAGGCGGUCUGAUAAGCCGGUUGUGAAAGCCCCGGGCUCAACCUGGGAACGGCAUCCGGAACUGUCAGGCUAGAGUGCAGGAGAGGAAGGUAGAAUUCCCGGUGUAGCGGUGAAAUGCGUAGAGAUCGGGAGGAAUACCAGUGGCGAAGGCGGCCUUCUGGACUGACACUGACGCUGAGGUGCGAAAGCGUGGGUAGCAAACAGGAUUAGAUACCCUGUAGUC